RNAcentral lists this ribosomal RNA (253 nucleotides) under uncultured bacterium. RNAcentral describes it as "partial 16S ribosomal RNA". It matches the Rfam family "Bacterial small subunit ribosomal RNA", at positions 524 to 776 of the family's 1533-position model. The record is from RNAcentral.
UACGGGGGGGGCAAGCGUUGUUCGGAAUUACUGGGCGUAAAGGGCUCGUAGGUGGCCAACUAAGUCAGACGUGAAAUCCCUCGGCUUAACCGGGGAACUGCGUCUGAUACUGGAUGGCUUGAGUUUGGGAGAGGGAUGCGGAAUUCCAGGUGUAGCGGUGAAAUGCGUAGAUAUCAGGAGGAACACCGGUGGCGAAGGCGGAUCUCUGGGCCUUACCUGACGCUCAGGCGCGAAAGCUAGGGGAGCGAACAGG